UAAUACCGUAUGUUGUCAUGUUGAUGCAUAUUUUCAUGACCAAAGGCUUCGGCCGGUAAAGGAUGGGGAUGCGUCUGAUUAGCUUGCCGGCGGGGUAACGGCCCACCGGGGCGACGAUCAGUAGGGGUUCUGAGAGGAAGGUCCCCCACAUUGGAACUGAGACACGGUCCAAACUCCUACGGGAGGCAGCAGUGAGGAAUAUUGGUCAAUGGGCGCGAGCCUGAACCAGCCAAGUAGCGUGCAGGACGACGGCCCUAUGGGUUGUAAACUGCUUUUAUACGGGGAUAAAGUAUGCCACGUGUGGUUUAUUGCAGGUACCGUAUGAAUAAGGACCGGCUAAUUCCGUGCCAGCAGCCGCGGUAAUACGGAAGGUCCGGGCGUUAUCCGGAUUUAUUGGGUUUAAAGGGAGCGUAGGCCGGGUUUUAAGCGUGCCGUGAAAUGUCGGGGCUCAACCUUGACACUGCGGCGCGAACUGGAGUCCUUGAGUGCGCGGAACGUAUGCGGAAUUCGUGGUGUAGCGGUGAAAUGCUUAGAUAUCACGAAGAACCCCGAUUGCGAAGGCAGCAUACGGCAGCGCUACUGACGCUGAAGCUC
Molecule: ribosomal RNA, 594 nt
Filed under: uncultured bacterium
Lineage: Bacteria
Description: bacterial SSU rRNA
Rfam family: Bacterial small subunit ribosomal RNA
Source: RNAcentral